This 719-nucleotide long non-coding RNA is filed under the name Sinocyclocheilus anshuiensis. Its description in RNAcentral is "lncRNA (ENSSANG00000000954.1)". Lineage: Eukaryota; Metazoa; Chordata; Actinopteri; Cypriniformes; Cyprinidae. The record is from RNAcentral.
CCGCACGCGCGUGGCUCGAACAGGUGCAGGUGUGUGAUGGACCUGCGGCGUUGUAUCUGCUGCGCGGCGGUGUUUGCGUUACUGGCAGGUGUUGACGGAGGCUGCGGCAGAAAUCAGUGGCAGUGUGAUGAUGGAGUGUGUGUGUCGCACAGAUGGCGCUGUGACGGUGUCAGUGACUGCCAGGAUGGAUCUGAUGUGAUGGAGUGCAGUAUGUAGUCUUUAUGCUCGCUUGUUGAAUUAAUUAGAUUGCAUCUGGCUGAUUCCAUGGAAGGAGGACACAAAUAAACAAGCGUCUUUCUAUGCCAUUAGUAUGUCAGCCUGGAGAUGUGGAGUGUGCGGAUGGCUCCGGGUGUGUGAUUGGGUCGGGUGUUUGUGACGGCCGGCCCCAGUGUCCCGAUGCUUCAGAUGAGUGGGACUGCAGCUGGCGUUUAGGGUGUCUGUCAGGAGACCGGAAGUGCAAGAACAACAUUUGCAUACCACAAAAUCUUCUCUGCAAUGACGUCAACGACUGCGGGGACAACUCCGAUGAAGAAACCUGUGGUUCCUGUGGGAAGAUGAACAUCCGCUGUGCUGACGGCACGUGUCUAACCCCGAGACAGAGGUGUGAUGGAGUUGCUCAAAGCUCAGAUAAGAGAGAUGAGCCUCUUACAUGUGGUACAUAAAGACCCUCAGUAUUAAUUUUUAAUGUUGAACAUUUAUUUAUUUAGUGUUUUUGAGUU